UUAUUGACUUCAAAUUUCCCUCAUAGACGACUGUCAAUCACUGAAGAGCAUGUGCUGUAUGGUAUUUACAAUGAAAAUUUGCACAAGCAUGUUAGGAGAUAGAAUUUCCAAAGAAUUUGAUUUCUUUAGGCAAAUGUGCAAAUUAAAUGACAAUUUCUUUGUUUCAAAAUAUCUAGCACAUUAUGUUACAAGAUGGUGUGAACAAUUAUAAGUCAGUAAUGAAAAUAAUGAGUCAAGGAUACAGAGGCUAAACUAUGCUAAGGAUCAAAUAAAAUUAGACAACUUAAGAGUGUUUUAUUAUUGCUGCACAAAUUCAAUACUUC
This 323-nucleotide unclassified non-coding RNA is filed under the name Hevea brasiliensis (rubber tree). The record is from RNAcentral. Lineage: Eukaryota; Viridiplantae; Streptophyta; Magnoliopsida; Malpighiales; Euphorbiaceae.